CAUUAACCCAAGGACCAAGUCCUGGCCCAUCACAAGGUUCCGUGUCCUGGUCUGUCUGAGGGUCCAUGUCCUAUCCCACCAUCAAGCCAAGGACCAAGUCCUGGUUCAUCACAGGUUCCGUGUUCUGGUGCAUCUGAGGGUCCAUGUCCUGUCGCACCUGAGGGUCCAUGUCCAGUCCCACCAUGCACCCAAGGACAUAUUCUGGUCCAUCACAAGGUUCCAUCUCCUGGUCCAUCUGAGGGUCCAUGUCCCAUCCCACCAUGCACCCAAGGACCAAGUCCUGGUUCAUCACAGGUUCCGUGUUCUGGUGCAUCUGAGGGUCCAUGUCCCAUCACAGGUGCCACCAUCCCAUGUCCCAUCCCAUCUGAGGGUCCAUGUCCUGUCCCACCAUUGACCCAUGGACCAAGUCCUGGUCCAUCCCAGGUUCCGUGUCCUGUCCUACCAUGCACCCAAGGACCAAGUUCUGGUCCAUCGUCCAUCACGGGUUCCGUGUUCUGGUCUGUCUGAGGGUCCAUGUCCUGUCCCACCAUUGACCCUAGAACAACAUCCUGGCCCAUCACAGGUUCCAUGUCCUGGUCUGUCUGAGGGUCCAUGUCCCGUCCCACCUGAGGGUCCAUGUCCCGUUCCACCAUCAACCCAAGGACCAAGUCCUGGUCCAUCACAAAUUCCGUGUUCUGGUGCAUCUGAGGGUCCAUGUCCCGUCCCACUAUGCACCCAAGGACCAAGUCCUGGUCCAUCACAAGUUCCGUGUUCUGGUCUGUCUGAGGGUCCAUGUCCUGUCCCACCUGAGGGUCCAUGUCCUGUCCCACCAUCAACCCAAGGACCAAGUCCUGGUCCAUCACAGGUUCCAUGUUCUGGUGCAUCUGAGGGUCCAUGUCCCGUCCCAGGUGCCAUCAUUCCAUGUCUUGGUCCAUCUGAGGAUCUGGGUCCUGUCCCACCAUUGACCCAAGGACCAAGUCCUGGUCCAUCACAGGUUCCGUGUUCUGGUGCAUCUGAGGAUCCAUGUCCCAUCCCACCAUGGACCCAAGGACAUGUUCUGGUCCAUCCCAAGGUCCCAUGUCCCAUCCCAUCUGAGGGUCCAUGUCCCAUCACAGGUGCCACCAUCCCAUGUCCUGGCCCAUCUUAGGGUCCAUGUCCCGUCCCACUAUGCACCCAAGGAUAUGUCCUGGCCCAUCACAAGGUUCCGUGUCCUGGUCUGUCUGAGGGUCCAUGUCCCAUCCCACCAUCAACCGAAGGACCAAGUCCUGGUCCAUCACAGGUUCCGUGUUCUGGCCCAUCUGAGGGUCCAUGUCCCAUCCCAGGUGCCACCAUCCCAUGUCUUGGUCCAUCUGAGGGUCCAUGUCCUGUCCCACCAUGCACUCAAGGACCAAGUCCUGGUCCAUCCCAAGGUCCCAUGUCCUGGUCUGUCUGAGGAUCUGGGUCCUGUCCCACCAUGGAGCCAAGAACCAUAUUCUGGUCCAUCCCAAGGUCCCAUGUCCUGGUCCAUUUGAGGGUCCA
This is a non-coding RNA of Lonchura striata (white-rumped munia), 1497 nucleotides long. The record is from RefSeq and is a predicted model, not a curated record. Lineage: Eukaryota; Metazoa; Chordata; Aves; Passeriformes; Estrildidae.